UCCUAUGGCAUGGAUCACCCGGAAUGCACCAAAUCUCACCAAAGCUCGGAAGCUAAGUCGGCCUGAGCUUGGACAGUGCCUGGAUGGGUCACCGCCAUGCACAACACAGGUGCUAUAGGCU
Petromyzon marinus (sea lamprey) is the source of this 121-nucleotide ribosomal RNA. The record is from Ensembl. Lineage: Eukaryota; Metazoa; Chordata; Hyperoartia; Petromyzontiformes; Petromyzontidae.